RNAcentral lists this long non-coding RNA (581 nucleotides) under Solanum tuberosum (potato). RNAcentral describes it as "long non-coding RNA (STUB_LNC004854)". The record is from RNAcentral. Lineage: Eukaryota; Viridiplantae; Streptophyta; Magnoliopsida; Solanales; Solanaceae.
UCUUCUUUUUAUGGGUUUUUUCUUCUUCUGAUUAUCAAGUAUGAUUAUGGGUUUCUCUCUUUAUCUAACUUGAUUGUGCUAUGAUCGGAUUCUUGGAAUUUCUUUUCUUAUAUCGUGUGAUGUAUCUAUCCAGACUGAACAGAGAAAGAAAGUGGGGGGUUUUUAUGUUUAAUUUUGUACUUGGGUAAUUUUAUCUGACUUUUUUUUUUUUUUUUUUUUUUUUUUUUUUUUUUUUUUUUUUUUUUAGCUUAACCUUAGUUCACUUAUUUUGUUAUAAAUAUAGGAUGAUCUUAAUUCAGCAAUUUGUUGUUUAGACUUUGUUAUGUAAGAGUAGGAGAUUGAUCCCUUCUGCAUUUAGGAUUUUGUUUUUUUGUAGCUAGUGCACUUGUUGUGUAUCUUUUAAUUUUGGGGCAUGUUUUAAUCUUUUUGGAUUUAUGAGUAUACUUGUGUAAAUUUUCUGUGAUGGGAUCUGGUUUCUGCAUUUUUUGGGUUUUCCUUUCAUGGGUUUCCCUUGCUAUUUAGUUGUAUGUGGUGUUCAAUUAUCAUCAGUGCUGAAAGGAUUUUUGCCUGUCUUUCGUGUG